GGGCAUGUAGCUCAGUUGGUAGAGCGGCCGUCUUAUACGCGGCAUGUCGGGGGUUCGAAUCCCUCCGUGCCCACCA
This 76-nucleotide transfer RNA is filed under the name candidate division WWE3 bacterium CG08_land_8_20_14_0_20_40_13. RNAcentral describes it as "tRNA-Ile". It matches the Rfam family "tRNA". Rfam says of the family: Transfer RNA (tRNA) molecules are approximately 80 nucleotides in length. Their secondary structure includes four short double-helical elements and three loops (D, anti-codon, and T loops). Further hydrogen bonds mediate the characteristic L-shaped molecular structure. tRNAs have two regions of fundamental functional importance: the anti-codon, which is responsible for specific mRNA codon recognition, and the 3' end, to which the tRNAs corresponding amino acid is attached (by aminoacyl-tRNA synthetases). tRNAs cope with the degeneracy of the genetic code in two manners: having more than one tRNA (with a specific anti-codon) for a particular amino acid; and 'wobble' base-pairing, i.e. permitting non-standard base-pairing at the 3rd anti-codon position. Lineage: Bacteria; candidate division WWE3. The record is from RNAcentral.